CGAAAGCCUGACGGAGCAAUACCGCGUGAGGGAGGAAGGCUCUUGGGUUGUAAACCUCAAAACUUAGGGAAGAAAAAAAUGACGGUACCUAAUGUAAGCAUCGGCUAACUCCGUGCCAGCAGCCGCGGUAAUACGGAGGAUGCAAGCGUUAUCCGGAAUCAUUGGGCGUAAAGAGUCCGUAGGUGGCACUUCAAGUCUGCUUUCAAAGACCGAAGCUCAACUUCGGAAAGGGAGUGGAAACUGAAGAGCUAGAGUAUAGUAGGGGUAGAGGGAAUUCCUAGUGUAGCGGUGAAAUGCGUAGAGAUUAGGAAGAACACCAGUGGCGAAGGCGCUCUACUGGGCAUAUACUGACACUGAGGGACGAAAGCUAGGGGAGCG
This 378-nucleotide ribosomal RNA is filed under the name uncultured cyanobacterium. RNAcentral's name for it is "bacterial SSU rRNA". It matches the Rfam family "Bacterial small subunit ribosomal RNA", at positions 376 to 770 of the family's 1533-position model. Lineage: Bacteria; Bacillati; Cyanobacteriota. The record is from RNAcentral.